This 253-nucleotide ribosomal RNA is filed under the name uncultured bacterium. RNAcentral describes it as "partial 16S ribosomal RNA". It matches the Rfam family "Bacterial small subunit ribosomal RNA", at positions 524 to 776 of the family's 1533-position model. The record is from RNAcentral.
UACGGAGGAUGCAAGCGUUAUCCGGAAUGAUUGGGCGUAAAGCGUCCGCAGGUGGCCAUGUAAGUCUGCUGUUAAAGAGUCUAGCUCAACUAGAUAAGAGCAGUGGAAACUACAUAGCUAGAGUACGUUCGGGGCAGAGGGAAUUCCUGGUGUAGCGGUGAAAUGCGUAGAGAUCAGGAAGAACACCGGUGGCGAAGGCGCUCUGCUAGGCCGUAACUGACACUGAGGGACGAAAGCUAGGGGAGCGAAUGGG